Molecule: ribosomal RNA, 444 nt
Filed under: uncultured bacterium
Lineage: Bacteria
Description: partial 16S ribosomal RNA
Rfam family: Bacterial small subunit ribosomal RNA
Source: RNAcentral
CCUACGGGAGGCAGCAGUGGGGAAUAUUGCGCAAUGGGCGAAAGCCUGACGCAGCGACGCCGCGUGAGGGAUGAAGGAGUGCUUCGGCAUGUAAAGCCCUAUCGGCAGGGAAGAAGCAAGACGGUACCUGACUACGAAUCCCCGGCUAAUUACGUGCCAGCAGCCGCGGUCAUACGUAGGGGGCGCGCGUUAUCCGGAUGCACUGGGUGUAAAGGGAGCGUAGCCGGCCAAGCAAGCCAGGGGUGAAAGCCCGGGGCCCAACCCGGGGACUGCACUGGGAACUGCAUGGCUGGAGUGCGGGAGGGGAAGGCGGAAUUCCUGGUGUAGCGGUGAAAUGCGUAGAUAUCAGGAGGAACACCAGCGGCGAAGGCGGCCUGCUGGACCGCGACUGACGUUGAGGCUCGAAAGCGUGGGGAGCGAACAGGAUUAGAUACCCCUGUAGUC